RNAcentral lists this long non-coding RNA (1047 nucleotides) under Oryctolagus cuniculus (rabbit). RNAcentral's name for it is "lncRNA (ENSOCUG00000037938.1)". The record is from RNAcentral. Lineage: Eukaryota; Metazoa; Chordata; Mammalia; Lagomorpha; Leporidae.
GGAAAAUCCCUUAUUUCAUAGCCAGCUGAUCUGGAAUGAGAGUGGCCCCAGGGAACCCCAAAUUUGUGGCUGCUAUCUGAAGUGAGAGUAGGAUGGAGAGGGAUUCCUUAGACCGUGCGGUUUGUCAGAGCUAAGAUCCUGGCACCUAAGCCAGGGCCAUGAAGGUUGGCUCAGUGUCAUCUCCACGUCUUACAGUCUCAGGUCUCAGAUCUGUGCUCCAUUUGGAAUUUGUCUUUCUAUACAGCGUGAGUUGAGGGCUUAGGGCUAUUCUUGUGGAAGGAUGUCUUGCUGUCUCCUAACCAUCAGUUCAGAAGAUUUUUCUUUCCCCUAUGAAGUUGUCUCGGGCAUUUGUCAGAGUCCCUCGGUCACAAGCAAGCCUUCUUUCCAGAAUGUCAGCUCUGCUCUGUCGAUGCUCUAUCUACACUACACCAGUACCAGGCUGGCUACACCAGUACCACACUGGCUACACCAGUACCACGCUGGCUACACCAGUACCACGCUCGCUACACCAGUACCACGCUGGCUACACCAGUACCACGCUGGCUACACCAGUACCAGGCUGGCUACACCAGUACCACGCUCGCUACACCAGUACCACGCUGGCUACACCAGUACCAGGCUGGCUACACCAGUACCACGCUCGCUACACCAGUACCAGGCUGGCUACACCAGUACCACGCUCGCUACACCAGUACCAGGCUGGCUACACCAGUACCACGCUCGCUACACCAGUACCAGGCUGGCUACACCAGUACCACACUGGCUACACCAGUACCACGCUCGCUACACCAGUACCAGGCUGGCUACACCAGUACCACGCUCGCUACACCAGUACCACGCUGGCUACACCGGUACCAGGCUCGCUACACCAGUACCACGCUGGCUACACCAGUACCAGGCUGGCUACACCAGUACCACGCUGGCUACACCAGUACCAUGCUCGCUACACCAGUACCACGCUGGCUACACCAGUACCACACUGGCUACACCAGUACCACGCUCGCUACACCAGUACCAGGCUGGCUACACCAGUACCACGCUGGCUAC